This 621-nucleotide ribosomal RNA is filed under the name uncultured marine archaeon. RNAcentral describes it as "bacterial SSU rRNA". It matches the Rfam family "Archaeal small subunit ribosomal RNA", at positions 25 to 652 of the family's 1478-position model. The record is from RNAcentral.
GACUGCUAUCGGAUUGAUACUAAGCCAUGCGAGUCAUUGUAGUAAUACAAGGCAGACGGCUCAGUAACGCGUAGUCAACCUAACCUAUGGACGGGAAUAACCUCGGGAAACUGAGUAUAAUGCCCGAUAGAACAUUAUGCCUGGAAUGGUUUAUGUUCCAAAUGAUUUAUCGCCGUAGGAUGGGACUGCGGCCUAUCAGUUUGUUGGUGAGGUAAUGGCCCACCAAGACUAUUACAGGUACGGGCUCUGAGAGGAGUAGCCCGGAGAUGGGUACUGAGACACGGACCCAGGCCCUAUGGGGCGCAGCAGGCGAGAAAACUUUGCAAUGUGCGAAAGCACGACAAGGUUAAUCCGAGUGGUUUCUGCUAAAGGAACCUUUUGUCGGUCCUAGAAACACCGAUGAAUAAGGGGUGGGCAAGUUCUGGUGUCAGCCGCCGCGGUAAAACCAGCACCUCAAGUGGUCAGGAUGAUUAUUGGGCCUAAAGCAUCCGUAGCCGGCUCUGUUAGUUUUCGGUUAAAUCUGUACGCUUAACGUACAGGCUGCCGGGAAUACUGCAAAGCUAGGGAGUGGGAGAGGUAGACGGUACUCGGUAGGAAGGGGUAAAAUCCUUUGAUCUAUUG